UACGUAGGGGGCUAGCGUUGUCCGGAUUUAUUGGGCGUAAAGAGCGUGUAGGCGGCCAGGUAGGUCUGCUGUGAAAACUCGAGGCUCAACCUCGAGACGUCGGCGGAAACCAUCUGGCUGGAGUCCGGAAGAGGAGAGUGGAAUUCCUGGUGUAGCGGUGAAAUGCGCAGAUAUCAGGAAGAACACCCGUGGCGAAGGCGGCUCUCUGGGACGGUACUGACGCUGAGACGCGAAAGCGUGGGGAGCGAACAGG
RNAcentral lists this ribosomal RNA (253 nucleotides) under uncultured bacterium. Its description in RNAcentral is "partial 16S ribosomal RNA". It matches the Rfam family "Bacterial small subunit ribosomal RNA", at positions 524 to 776 of the family's 1533-position model. The record is from RNAcentral.